GACAGAGGGUGCGAACGUUGUUCGGAAUUACUGGGCGUAAAGCGCGUGUAGGCGGUCGUGCAAGUCGGGUGUGAAAGCCCUGGGCUCAACCCAGGAAGUGCAUUUGAUACUGCGCGACUGGAGUCCCGGAGAGGAUGGUGGAACUCUCGGUGUAGAGGUGAAAUUCGUAGAUAUCGAGAAGAACACCGGUGGCGAAGGCGGCCAUCUGGACGGUGACUGACGCUGAGACGCGAAAGCGUGGGGAGCAAACAGG
Molecule: ribosomal RNA, 253 nt
Filed under: uncultured bacterium
Lineage: Bacteria
Description: partial 16S ribosomal RNA
Rfam family: Bacterial small subunit ribosomal RNA
Source: RNAcentral